This 394-nucleotide ribosomal RNA is filed under the name Eudyptes chrysocome chrysocome. RNAcentral describes it as "partial 12S ribosomal RNA". It matches the Rfam family "Bacterial small subunit ribosomal RNA", at positions 794 to 1381 of the family's 1533-position model. Lineage: Eukaryota; Metazoa; Chordata; Aves; Sphenisciformes; Spheniscidae. The record is from RNAcentral.
GCCUAGCCCUAAAUCUUGAUACUCUCCCCCACUAAAGUAUCCGCCCGAGAACUACGAGCACAAACGCUUAAAACUCUAAGGACUUGGCGGUGCCCCAGAUCCACCUAGAGGAGCCUGUUCUGUAAUCGAUAACCCACGAUACACCCAACCCCCCCUUGCCAAAACAGCCUAUAUACCGCCGUCGCCAGCCCACCUCUCCUGAGAGUCCAACAGUGAGCAAAAUAGCCCCACCUCGCUAGCAAGACAGGUCAAGGUAUAGCCUAUGGGGCGGAAGAAAUGGGCUACAUUUUCUAAGAUAGACAACUUCACGGAAAGGGACAUGAAACCGUCCCCAGAAGGCGGAUUUAGCAGUAAAGCGGGAUAAUAAAGCCCCCUUUAAACCGGCCCUGAGGCA